Molecule: transfer RNA, 72 nt
Filed under: Camelus bactrianus (Bactrian camel)
Lineage: Eukaryota; Metazoa; Chordata; Mammalia; Artiodactyla; Camelidae
Also listed under: 1 other name
Rfam family: tRNA
About the family: Transfer RNA (tRNA) molecules are approximately 80 nucleotides in length. Their secondary structure includes four short double-helical elements and three loops (D, anti-codon, and T loops).
Source: Rfam by way of RNAcentral
AGGGAUAUAACUCAGUGGUAGAGCACCUGCUCAGCAUGCAUGAGGUCCUGGGUUCUAUUUCCAGUAACUCUG